This 250-nucleotide ribosomal RNA is filed under the name uncultured prokaryote. Its description in RNAcentral is "partial 16S ribosomal RNA". It matches the Rfam family "Bacterial small subunit ribosomal RNA", at positions 524 to 773 of the family's 1533-position model. The record is from RNAcentral.
UACGUAGGGGGCAAGCGUUAUCCGGAUUUACUGGGUGUAAAGGGAGCGCAGGCGGCAAGGCAAGUCUGAUGUGAAAACCCAGGGCUCAACCCUGGGAUUGCAUUGGAAACUGUCUAGCUAGAGUGUCGGAGAGGUAAGUGGAAUUCCUAGUGUAGCGGUGAAAUGCGUAGAUAUUAGGAGGAACACCAGUGGCGAAGGCGACUUACUGGACGAUAACUGACGCUGAGGCUCGAAAGCGUGGGGAGCAAAC